This 258-nucleotide ribosomal RNA is filed under the name Paraglomus sp. CS04-3. RNAcentral describes it as "partial 18S ribosomal RNA". It matches the Rfam family "Eukaryotic small subunit ribosomal RNA", at positions 624 to 887 of the family's 1831-position model. The record is from RNAcentral. Lineage: Eukaryota; Fungi; Glomeromycota; Glomeromycetes; Paraglomerales; Paraglomeraceae.
AAGCUUGUAGUGAAAUUCGGGCCUGGCUGGACGGUCCGCCCUUCGGGUGAGUACUGUCUGUGGUCGGGUCCUACCCUCUGGCGAAGCGUCAUGGCCUUAACCGGCCGUGGCGGGGAACCAGGACUUUUACUGUGAAAAAAUUAGAGUGUUCAAAGCAGGCAAUCGCUGGGAUACAUUAGCAUGGAAUAAUGGAAUAGGACAAUGGUUCUAUUUGUUGGUUUCUAGGACCGUUGUAAUGAUUAAUAGGGAUAGUUAGGG